AGCAGAGUGGCUCGGUGGAAAGAGCCCGGGCUUGGGAGUCAGAGGUCAUGGGUUCGAAUCCCGGCUCUGCCA
Molecule: transfer RNA, 72 nt
Filed under: Ornithorhynchus anatinus (platypus)
Lineage: Eukaryota; Metazoa; Chordata; Mammalia; Monotremata; Ornithorhynchidae
Rfam family: tRNA
About the family: Transfer RNA (tRNA) molecules are approximately 80 nucleotides in length. Their secondary structure includes four short double-helical elements and three loops (D, anti-codon, and T loops).
Source: Rfam by way of RNAcentral